CAGGCGCCACCUGGUCACCACACGCGCCUCCUCUGCUCGGGUCCUCGGGCACCGUGUCCUGCCCCGCGGCGGCCGCCCCACGGACCGGGCUCCAGCAACAGCAGGACCCGCUCCGCCUCCUCCGAAGCUAAGAAUUGAUGUGAACCUUAAAAUCGACGCCAGUCAUAUUUUAAUUUGGAUACUCUGAAGCUUAAUCUUGAAAGUAUAUUCAUAACCUUUGCCUGCCUAUGACCUUUUAAGCAAUACGGUAUCGAAGAAAUGACUUAGUGAUAAUUCAGAGCAGUAUUGUGAUAAAAUGAAAGAUGAAAUAAUCAGAUCAAGGGAUUUUGAAGACUGGCGGAUGUACUUCCUUCACUCCAGUGCUAGUUUACCACCAGAAUCGCAACAGAAGAUCAGUGUAGACGGCCCUUCAAACAGCUUCAGCUAGCUAUCAUUAGUAUGCUUGACUCCGCCAAAAUGGACCUUCUUCUGCAUGCCUUUUUUUAAAAAAAGAUUUUAUUUGAGGGAGAAUUGAGUAUGAGCAGGGAGAGGGCCGGAGGAAGAGGGGGAAGCAGAGCCUGCUGAGCAGAGAUCCCGACACGGGGCACCAUCCCAAAACCCUGAUCACGACCCGAGCUGAAGGCAGACGCUCAACUGAUGAGUCACCCAGGUGCCCUGCUCUGCCACUUUUGACUGUGUACUAUUACCUGUGCUCCUUAGCUUAGGUCCAUUCACGAAAUCUUGCGAUGACUUAAAAGUCUUCUCCCAUUAGCUCUGUUUUCUGGUCAUCAUUGCUCAGCUCUAAUAGCCACGAGCCUAUGUACAUUCCCAGUGUGUAUACAUUUCUGUCUUUGUUUAAACAUGUUUUUGAUAAUACCUUUGCAAAAUCCAUUCUGAUGAAAAUGGAAAAGAAGUCCUAUCAACCAAUAUUUCCCUACUAAUCAAAUUUCUUAUGGCAGAACACUAUCAUUUCUGAAUUAGGAAAGGACUAUUAAAAAAAAACAGAUUAAAUGAGAAAAAUUCAGUCAUUCAUUGUAUAAGAAUAAGCAAGUUAUUACUAAUUAAUCUUUUAUUUCCCUAUGAAACAGUUUUUUGGGCAUUUCCUGCUUGAAUUAAUAGAACAAGUAAAAAGGAGGUGAAAAGACUAACAUUCACUGCAUGCCUUCCUAAGUGCCAGGAAUGGUGAAAUAUUCCUCUGCCUACUAUUUUUAUUAUGGUAGUUGAUUAUUAUGGUUAUAGAUUAGAAGACGUUUUCCUUUUUUUUUUUUACAUUUAAAUUCAAUUUGACAACGCACAGUAUAACACCCAGUGCUCAUUACAUCUUGUGCCCUCCUCAGUGCCCGUCAUC
This is a long non-coding RNA of Canis lupus familiaris (dog), 1327 nucleotides long. RefSeq lists it as uncharacterized. The record is from RefSeq and is a predicted model, not a curated record. Lineage: Eukaryota; Metazoa; Chordata; Mammalia; Carnivora; Canidae. The transcript has 3 exons.